RNAcentral lists this ribosomal RNA (1419 nucleotides) under Ulva lactuca. RNAcentral describes it as "bacterial LSU rRNA". It matches the Rfam family "Archaeal large subunit ribosomal RNA", at positions 1511 to 2969 of the family's 2987-position model. The record is from RNAcentral. Lineage: Eukaryota; Viridiplantae; Chlorophyta; Ulvophyceae; Ulvales; Ulvaceae.
GGAAGCAGGUUAAUAUUCCUGCACUAUUUAGAUAGGGAUGGUGACACAAGUACAUUUUGAGACGCUUCCAGUUAGCUGUUGCUAAACUUGUUUAGUUCAAAUGUUAUACGACUAUGGAGUGUGGUAAUCACGAGAAGUAGUUGAAAACAUGAUGAUUCAAUAAUGGCAAGACUUGGAGUCUUUGAAAAUCAAAUUGUAUCGAUUCUAAAUAAAUGUACCCACAACCGGCACAGGUGCCCCUAGGUGAUAAGCCUAAGUCCUGAAAGGAUAAUCUUCGUAAGGGAAUUCGGCCAAUUAGCCACUUGUCUUCGGUAUAAGUGGUCCCUAAACUGUUGAAUUUUAAUAAGACAAUUUUAGGGUGCAAUUACAAAUGCGGUCCGACUGUUUAACUAAAACAUAGGGAACUGCUAGUCAGUAAUGAUGUGUAUAGUUCCUGAAGUCUGCCCACUGCCAGCAACUAAAACUGCUUUUCAAGGCGGCCAAGGUCUGGUAAAGGGCGGGGAUAACAAUGAUCCUCUUAAGGUAGCGAAAUGCCUUGCCGUUUAAAUGACGGCUUGCAUGAAUGGCGUAACGAGAUCGCAACUGUCCCUACGAAGAACCUUCUGAAUACACUAUCCCGGUGCAAAAGCCGGGGACUCCAAGUGGGAAGUAAAGACCCCGUUGAACUUUACUGCAGCCUGCUAUUGUGGUCAAUUUUACAACAUAACAAGGAGCUUCGGCAAAAAGGUAGAACUUGUUGUUGUGAAGUUGGCUGCUUAUCUCUUUUAGGGAAACAGUAGUUGGUGGGCAGUUUGGCUGGGGUGGCACCCUGUUGAAAAGAUAUCAACAGGGCCCAAUGGUCGGCUCAGACGGUUUAGAAAUCCGUCGUAGAGUGUAAGGGCAAAAGCCGGCUUUAUUCUGAUUACCACAAUGCUAAUCGGAAUUAGGAAACUAUGGCCUAACGAUCUGCAGUAUGCUUCUUAGUGAGGCUCUGCAUUGACAGAAAAGUUACCACGGGGAUAACAGAGUUGUCGCUCCCGAGAGUUCAUAUCGACGGAGCGGUUUGCUACAUCGAUGUCGGCUCAUCCUAACCUGGUAGUGCAGCAGCUACCAAAGGUGGGGGUGUUCACCCAUUAAAAGGGUUCGUGAGCUGGGUUCACAACGCUGUGAGGCAGUUGGUAUAAUAUCUGCUUGGAGUGUAAGUAUCUGCGAGAAAGAGUGAUUUAGUACGAAAGGAACGGUCUCUCGUGGCCACUGGUGGAUCUGUUGUCUAUAUAGGCAUGCAGAGCAGCUACGCCAUCGAGGAUAAAGGCUGAAAGCAUCUAAGCCUGAAACCUCCCUCUAAAAAAGAUACAUUGACCUCUCGUAAAAGACGAGUUUGAUAGGAUUGGGGUGUAAUAUGGAAGCUUCGGCGACCAUUUUAGCCUGCAAUUACUAACG